RNAcentral lists this ribosomal RNA (497 nucleotides) under uncultured bacterium. Its description in RNAcentral is "partial 16S ribosomal RNA". It matches the Rfam family "Bacterial small subunit ribosomal RNA", at positions 28 to 507 of the family's 1533-position model. The record is from RNAcentral.
GACGAACGCUGGCGGCGUGCCUAAUACAUGCAAGUUGAGCGCUGAAGGUUGGUACUUGUACCAACUGGAUGAGCAGCGAACGGGUGAGUAACGCGUGGGGAAUCUGCCUUUGAGCGGGGGACAGCAUUUGGAAACGAAUGCUAAUACCGCAUAAAAACUUUAAACACAAGGUUUAAGUUUGAAAGAUGCAAUUGCAUCACUCAAAGAUGAUCCCGCGUUGUAUUAGCUAGUUGGUGAGGUAAAGGCUCACCAAGGCGAUGAUACAUAGCCGACCUGAGAGGGUGAUCGGCCACAUUGGGACUGAGACACGGCCCAAACUCCUACGGGAGGCAGCAGUAGGGAAUCUUCGGCAAUGGACGAAAGUCUGACCGAGCAACGCCGCGUGAGUGAAGAAGGGUUUCGGAUCGUAAAACUCUGUUGGUAGAGAAGAACGUUGGUGAGAGUGGAAAGCUCAUCAAGUGACGGUAACUACCCAGAAAGGGACGGCUAACUACGUG